Molecule: long non-coding RNA, 978 nt
Organism: Acipenser ruthenus (sterlet)
Lineage: Eukaryota; Metazoa; Chordata; Actinopteri; Acipenseriformes; Acipenseridae
Exons: 2
Source: RefSeq, a predicted model, not a curated record
ACAGUGAGUGAGUGGCUGAGCCGGGAUGUGAACCUCCUGGUAUCAAGCCCUUUUCUUUAACCACUGGGCCACUGUCCCUGAGUAGCUCAGGGGGUUGAGUUCUGGGCUACAGUGUGGAAGGCAGUGGGUUUAAGAAGCUCUGUGUUAAAAAUAGACUGUUACUAAUUAUCUUUUCUUUUUUUGUGUAGCUCAUCACUAUCACUACUAUUUCUACUACCAUCAUGGGUACCGCUGCGCUCGCCAUUGGCAUACCUACCGCUGCAGGCGAUGCCAGCACUACUGAGAAGCAGCAGCGCCCAGGGAUCACAGUGCUGGAGUUUACCUGACAGCAGACCUGCAAGCAAAGCUUAAACACACCAGCAUGGCUGUAACCUUUCUGUUGUGGUCCCUCUCCAAACACACAGCUACAGCACCCAUACUUAUUUCUAUCAGGCCAUUCCCAGUUUGUUUAAAACAGCUGCUCUCUGUUGUGCAUUUGGUCAAUCUCUUCAAGGAUAUAUAAUAUGGAAAGUAUGGAAAGGUGUCCUUAUUUAACAUGUAGUCUCAGAUUCUCAGUGAGAUCACAUGCUCACACAUGUUUGAAUAGAAAUACAACUCCACAUGGGCACAUAUACAAAGCGUUACUUGGAGAGCGUGCUUGAUUGAUUUGCCCCAGCUCAUAAUCACUGCACCGAGUCAGGUUUGACCAGUAGACUCCUUUCUUCUCCCAGCUCCUCACAGCCACCCUGUGAUGUCACAAGUGACCCGUGACAGGUCUUGUUCACAGACUGACAAAAACAUUGUGUUUAUAUAGAGAUUUUCUUCAUCUCUCAAUUAUUUUAAAAUAUCUUUAUUUGCGUUCAUGACAACAAAUGCUCAAACCGUUGACCAGUAUAAAUGCUGUCCUGCCGAAACAACACUAUCUGCUGUUACAUGAAACUGGGUAAAAGCCUGUCUCUUUCUGUAAAGCUUUUUAAGCAAUAAAACUAUUAGCAUCAA